UCAGGACCAGGAAGCCACACAGGAACGUACUCCGUACUCCGUUCACCGGAAUUCCAUUGGCUGUAUGUCUCUUCAAAUCGCUUAACGUCCUGAGAAUCUAAACGCGUCACUGCAUCUUUGUUUUCUUCUUUCUCGGACACGGUUGGAAUCACGCCAGUCCAUCCUACCAAAGUAGUUUGCCAAUACGUUGAAUUAGCCAACCAGUUCAUACUUGAGUACAUCGUUGUUGCACCUCGGCGGCCGCUAAGGUCCCAUUCUCUAGUUUCCUCAUUAAUACUACUUUUAAAAGGCAAGUGCCUCAAAACGUAUAUAAUGCGACCACUGACGCCUAAUGAUUUCAGCUCCUCU
Molecule: non-coding RNA, 348 nt
Organism: Schizosaccharomyces pombe (fission yeast)
Lineage: Eukaryota; Fungi; Ascomycota; Schizosaccharomycetes; Schizosaccharomycetales; Schizosaccharomycetaceae
Source: the annotation of a GenBank genome assembly